GGAAUUCUGUGAUGUACGAGUUGUCCCAUCUGUGUGUUGACCGAACAUUUUUAUUGAUAUAUUGGGAUCCGUCUUGUGUCAAAGCUGGUAACAUGCCUUUUCAUUUGGUAGUUCGAUGCUUAGACCGUGGAACCCACCUGCUAGAAUUUGCGGGAUCAAUACUACGGGAAAAAGAACGGCAUCUACGGAUAUUAC
This is a non-coding RNA of Enterococcus sp. HSIEG1, 195 nucleotides long. Lineage: Bacteria; Bacillati; Bacillota; Bacilli; Lactobacillales; Enterococcaceae. The record is from Rfam.